RNAcentral lists this ribosomal RNA (582 nucleotides) under Psychrobacter sp. CY-C3-8. Its description in RNAcentral is "bacterial SSU rRNA". It matches the Rfam family "Bacterial small subunit ribosomal RNA", at positions 112 to 692 of the family's 1533-position model. The record is from RNAcentral. Lineage: Bacteria; Pseudomonadati; Pseudomonadota; Gammaproteobacteria; Moraxellales; Moraxellaceae.
AAUACUUAGGAAUCUACCUAGUAGUGGGGGAUAGCACGGGGAAACUCGUAUUAAUACCGCAUACGACCUACGGGAGAAAGGGGGCAGUUUACUGCUCUCGCUAUUAGAUGAGCCUAAGUCGGAUUAGCUAGAUGGUGGGGUAAAGGCCUACCAUGGCGACNAUCUGUAGCUGGUCUGAGAGGAUGAUCAGCCACACCGGGACUGAGACACGGCCCGGACUCCUACGGGAGGCAGCAGUGGGGAAUAUUGGACAAUGGGGGAAACCCUGAUCCAGCCAUGCCGCGUGUGUGAAGAAGGCCUUUUGGUUGUAAAGCACUUUAAGCAGUGAANAANACUCCUCGGUUAAUACCCGUGGACGAUGACAUUAGCUGCAGAAUAAGCACCGGCUAACUCUGUGCCAGCAGCCGCGGUAAUACAGAGGGUGCAAGCGUUAAUCGGAAUUACUGGGCGUAAAGGGAGCGUAGGUGGCUCGAUAAGUCANAUGUGAAAUCCCCGGGCUCAACCUGGGAACUGCAUCUGAUACUGUUGAGCUAGAGUAUGUGAGAGGAAGGUAGAAUUCCAGGUGUAGCGGUGAAAUGCGUA